Acipenser ruthenus (sterlet) is the source of this 9053-nucleotide RNA transcript. RefSeq lists it as uncharacterized. The transcript has 3 exons. The record is from RefSeq and is a predicted model, not a curated record. NCBI's taxonomy places the organism in Eukaryota, Metazoa, Chordata, Actinopteri, Acipenseriformes, Acipenseridae.
CUGAUUUACCGUCCCAGGUCACAAACAAUAAUACCGCUAAGUGGAAAAGGCAAUAAUGGAAGCGCUUCAGAAAACUCUGACUUACCGGGGCGACCAUGCUCCUUACAGAAAUCUACUUCCAGACAAGGCUAUCUGUAAUUCAGGGAAGCAACAGGACGAAUCCAAAUACGUGGAGAUAGAUGAUCUUCUUGAUAUGAAAUCGGAAGGCGCAAAAACUGUCAAAGUUACUUUUACUGGUGAAGGAAGCCAGCUGCCAAUAUUUAAAUGUAAAAACGGCACCUCCACUGCUGGAAAUGAAAGCCCCGACGACCGAGAAAUGAAUGGCAAUGUAGCUAAACCCACAACCAUGAACUGUAAAUAUAAUAAAGAUUUUUCGCCGGGCGUCAGAGCACAACAGUUUCUCGCUGACGAUGUCCCUGGCUCUCCUGAAUCAGCUUCAUCCUCUGAAAUCUCCAAUAACGAAACGCCGCUUCAGAAGCGGGGCAUCAUCUCUGGAACUGAAACAAAAAAUGCACCUAAAAUGUCUAAGGCAAAACCCUCACUGGAUUACGAUAACGAUGAACUGGAAUACACGGAUAUCUUUUUGAAUAGAAAGAAUGAGCAAGAACCCCCUAGCACCCAGCAGUCGGACGAUUACGCAUCAAACGACAAUGAGGAUGAGACCCACUAUAUUUCAACUCACGAAAUACAGCUGUGUGAGUUAGAUGAUGAUGUUGAUUAUGACUUUGGGCAGAGGUCUUCUUGGGAUUUUGAGGACGACAACUUGGUCAAUUCCUUUGUGGAUUAUGCCUCUUUUGACAGUGAUGAAACUGUGGAAGGGACACAGAUAGAGGAUAGUGAUUGUGUAAAUGUGGAAAGCAAUCAGGCUCAAUCUAAUAAUACAGUUCAGCACACUAGUGGAGCAGCAGUCAGCACUAAGCAUGAAAGCGAUCUAUAUGACACGAACAAAUCCGCUAGCUCAGAUGAAAGUCUGUCAAAGAACCAAAACGGCAGUGGGAAUUCUGCAGGCCAGAUUCACCUGUCAAUCAAAACGACUUCCAGGGCUAUAAAUGAGCCUAACAACGUCAAAGAAAAGGAAAACAUUGGUUUUGAUGCCAAGUAUGAGAGAGACAUGAGCCGCUAUGUCUUAAAAAGCACUGGUGCUAAAACAGAGAAAAUCAGCGAUCGUGCGAAAUGUUUUAUUGCAGCUCCAGGACGUCUACACUUUGGAAGUAAAUUAAAAGGUAAGAAAGAUACCAAUGAAUACUCCAGUGGCGCAUCGAGUGCUGUCAGUGAGCUGGAUGAUGCUGACAAUGAAGUGCGUAAUUUAACUGCCAGAGCAUUCAGAAGUUUAGCUUGCCCUUAUUUUGACACAAUUAAUUUUAGCACUUCCAGCGACUCUUCGGCAUCUUUAUCAGAACAAGGCCUUGGGAUUAACAAGUGGUCAACGUUUGUUGACCUAAAAUAUGGCAAUCUGACCCAAAGAAGCAAGCAAAACGAGUUUUCCCAUAAGAGCUCUGCGUCAACUUUUGAAAUUAACAAGAAUUUGGCUAUAAGCAAUAUACAUCCACCUCAGAGUAAAAGCAUAGCUUUAAAUGGAAAAAUUGCAGAUAGCAAAAGCGGCAUUUCUUCAACAAAUGAAAUACAAGUGAAAGAAGAAAUUGAACAAGGUGUAAUAACUUUGAGUGAAACUUUAAAUGUUCGUUGCAAUGUUAAAACGGGUGUCCCUGGAAGCGAAAGGCGUGCAAAGUUUGCAGAAAAUGUGGCACGAUCGCGUUCUACAGAUGAAGUUACAGACACCUUGCCAAGCGAGCCGGGGGGUGAGACCAGUAAGCAAACUUGCAAAGCAGGGGAAGCCAUGGAAGAUCCACACAAGAAAGCGCAAUUCGCCACAAGCCUUCUCAAAAAUGUCAUCUCUAAGAAAAUGCAGUUUGAACAGGAGCGCAAAAUGGAAAGAGGAGAGAUAUCUGAACCCUCCUUUCCGGGAUUGUCUCCUGGUCUGUCUUGUAAAGAGUUCGAAUUCCCGAAAGAAAAGGUAGGUGGUUUUCAAAGGCAAAACUCCAGGUUCUCAGAAGGGAGUUCUGAAUUCACAAUUGUUUCAUUGAAUGAUAUAGAAGAUUUUGUGGAAAGCAAACCGUGUGAUGUCAAGGACUCGGAAGACACUUUAACUCUUACACCAGAAACUAAUUUUGAGUCCUCCUUUGAUGCGGGGUUUGAUACCAAAAAAGGAGCAUCUGAUGCAGCCAGGCAUAAGUUACUUCGUAGCCACAAUAGCGCAUUUAGAUCAUGGAGGGACGGUAAGCUAGAAUUUCAAAAGGAAUAUAAAAACGAUGAUAAAACCCUUACAGGGAAAUCGGCUACCUCCACAGAUAAGACGCGUUUGCAGCACCAACUGAGCAGCAGCAAAUCAACUAAAAUGUCUCAUCUGUUUGUGCCGAGCAUUCAGCUUGUUUCCACUGAGAAUGGAAUAGGAAAAACACAGCCAAACAUCAAAUAUUCAACCAGGGCAGUUACAGAUCUGGCAGAUGGAAGCAACCUUCUGAGCCUUGACACCUUGUAUGCAGCUGAUUCAGACAGAAGCUUGGUAACUUCUAAGUCACCUGAAAUCAAAAUAAGCCUGCGGAGCGUAGAGGAAAACAAACGCAACCCGUUCAACAUUGCUAAGCUGCUAACUCCCAAUAUAGGUUGCAAUGCGGCCAACCUGAUAAAGACAGCUGAUGACUUCAAAUGCCAAGCGCUCUCUGCAGCAUUAAAGGGUGAGUCGUCGGAAAAAGUGCCCCAUUUCACGGUCAGAGACAUAAGGGACAAGAAAUACAAGCUCCAAACACCGAUUCAUCAAGUCAGGGACGUGCGCAAGCUGGUUAAAAGCUCGUAUCACUUCGUUUCUCUGGACAACAACGACCCCAAAGGCUCUGCUUCUGAUCAGAACGCAGAGCAGACAUCUAUCCAGCAGGGCCAUUUCAGAAAACAGGGCUCACUUUCACCUAUAGUAAUAAAGUGCCAGUCAGUAAAUACAAAAAGCAACGUGACACCAUCAAAACGCAGACCAGUUGAGGGUAUUUUGGAGGCAGACAGAGUGUCUACUCCUCCAGCAGAGGGUGCCAAAAAAGGAACCAUACUGGUCUACAGAACAACAGACAGAGUUCCCUUGGUUCCUGCAUCAAAGCAACAGAAAAGCGAAACGUCUGAGGGGCCUGCUGGGGUGAAAACUGAAACCAGGUCAGCUAAACAGAAACCGGAAAUAAUUAUCGAACCCGGGGAAAAGAAACCAGAAUCAAAAAUGGCCAAUCAGGCAGCCUUGGAAAAACUCAGAGCUGCUGUUAAAACCAUGGAACAGUUGUAUGUUUUCGACAGAAACGAGUGGAAGCGCAAAACCCAACCACAGCCAAUUACUGAUAGUCAUGUGCUGUCACUCAUUGCCAGUGAAGAGGGUCCAGAGGGCAAUCAGGAGCAGUGGGCGAUAACAACAGCAGAACGAGAAGAGGAGAAUGUGACUGUAAGUCCAUCGACAGCAGAAAGAUUGAUCAGGAGAAACUCUUAUCCAACUGCAGAAAAGUUAAGUCAAACUGCAGCUGCAGGGUCAAUGUUCGAUUUUUUGCGGAAGAAAGAUGUCAAAGAGAACCUGAAAAUGUUUCACAUUCCCCUUAAAAAAGAGGACAAAGAAGUGCCCAAAUCUCUUUCUCAGCAAAGUGGAGCCUUCACCAACAAAAAUGUUUUCACUUUUACUAACAACCAGAAAACUUCCUCCAGAGGCAGCAGUAUCAAUGUCACCAAUAAACUGCCUCAGCCCUAUACUUCUUCACAACCACCUUUCAGCACAAAAAGCAUUGUUCCCAAAUCUACUAAAAUCCCCAUGUCCUUUAAAAUAUCACAAGCCAAAGCUGCACCUGCCAAAAUGGAGAAAAGUAGCAGUGAAGCAGAAAAAACGCAGACUCAUUCAACCUUUACAGCAGAUUCAGAAAACUACCUUACAAUACCAGUUAAACCUCAAACUAGCGAAGCCAAACCUACCACAACCAGUCAAGAGCAAAAUGCUGUGUACACCUUUGCAGCCACAGAAGCCAAACCCCAGACCACCAGUACUUUGAGCUACUUCAACCCAGCUGAUUCUAGAAGACAAGAAGACAGCAGCCAGUCCCCCAAAAGAUCUUCCGUUGUUAUGGAGACACAGUCCCCAGAUACCCCUACUGCCACCAUCUACCAUCACUCCCUGCCAAUGGCAAUGUCUGGUACACAGCCUCAGGUGAUUUGCUUUUCACAAUCUGUGCUGCCACCUAUAGACCAGUUACAGCAGACACAAAGGAAGAUGCUGCUGGAUCCCACAACUGGACAAUAUUACCUUGUAGAUACCCCCGUCCAACCUGCUACAAAGAGGCUUUUUGAUCCUGAAACAGGGCAGUAUGUGGAUGUCCCUAUGCCCCAGCAGCCAAUGGCCCCAGUGCCCAUGCCUAUCUCACCAUUAGCAUUAAGUUCUGGAGCUUAUGGUGCCACGUACAUGCUAUACCCAGGUUUUUUGCCCACAACCGCUGUGUUGCCCACCAGGACUUUGCAGACACAGUUGUCAUCUCAUUCAGAGGCAGAUGACAUUGAUAAAAUGAACAGCAAAGAAGUGAUACAUUUGGGGCAACAGGGAGAUGUUGCUUACAUGGAAAGCCCCUACUACAUCCCCACUGGGAAAUCUGCACAGGCACCAUCUACCAGCCAGCACAUAACAAGCGGGGGGUCAAAAGCAUUCUCUGAUGGAAAACCUGUGAUUAGUAUUGUGUCACAGCAAGGUCCAAGAAUAAUCGCCCCACCUUCCUUUGACGGAACUACCAUGCGUUUUGUUGUGGAGCACAGGUAAAUCACUGGAGAUCGACAUAUGUACAUGAAAUUGGCAAAGACAAAUUGGUUAUGCUGAAGCUGGAUUUACGCUGUUCCUGUUGGCCAACCCCCUGCACCUUAUUAUUAGUGAUCACAACCGUAGUAUCAAUGGUUUUCUGCUUUAAUGGAGCAAGUUAUGAAGAACCACCCCCUUUGGAUUAUGAAGACGGCUUGGUACUGUCAGAGAGAUUUAAAACAAUACCUUUUAUUACCACUGCUGCCAACCGAAUGCUGUGUGUUUUGUCAGAUUGAUUUAUUUAUCUAAAUACCCCUCAAUUUGUUUUUAUUUCUUUUUUGUUAAUCUUUGCAGCAUGCAGAAAUAUUUGAAACUGUGCAUUGUGACUACUGCUUAUCUGAUAAUUAUAUCACCUUGUUCUGCCUUUAAGUAUUUAGGUGAACCCUGAUCAUUUUGUGUAUGAAUAAUCAAGAAUAUGUUUGAAAGACAAUCUUGACUUUCAAUUGACUUGGCAACAUUUUGUACCAUUCAGACUUACCAAACCAACCUUCUUUUCUUUUUUUUUAAUCAUAAAAACAUAAUUUAAGUUAUUUUUUUUUAAAGUAUCUUUUUUCAGUCCUAUCUUAAUGGUAAAACAUCAGUCUUGUUUUUUUUUUUUCAUUAGCGAGCAUAAUAUUAAUUUUAUUUAAGAAUCUGUCAAUAGUACAGCUUCAGUUCCUGUUUAAUUUUAAUUAAUAAAAAUAUUAAAAAAACAUAAUAUGAAGAUUUAUUGAUUUUAAACCCUUUCCCCACUUUGAAACUGCAGUUAGAAAAAAUAUAUAUUCUUCAGAAACAAUUGCUGCAAUUUAUAAAAAGAGUUUGUGAAGAUAUUUAUUGUGAUUCAAUUGUACAGAUUCAGCUGUUAUAACUAUGAACAGUGCAUGGCACCUGCAGACAUUAAUAGUGUGGGUUAUGCUUUCAGAUAGGUUUAUUAAGUUUUACCCUUAUCCAAAUUCCCUUUAUAUGAAUCUCCCUCCUAUCUAAAAUGGAGGACCUCUACUAUGAUGGCUUUUUGAGGAAUUAAAAAAAUAUAUAUAUUAAAAACUGAUGUUAAAUUCCACAAAGAAUACAGUAAAAUGCCAAGAUCUCAUUUUAAUUAUAUUGUGAUCUCAACAAAUUCUCUAUUUAAAUUGUGUAACCCCAAGUGAUCCCCCAUAUCCUUUUGCAUAUUUCCAUGCUCACAAAAAGUUACAGUAAAUUCACUAUAAGUUACUGUUAAUAUAAACUACAGUUAAGUGUGCUAGUUUAUAAAGCCUCUUCAUAACAGGAAAUAUAUGUAUUUCCAUGUCCCAGAAGUUGUUCCCAAUGUAAGUAUCUGCCUGUGUCAUGCACUGUUUGAAGUAAUGUCUCUAUGGGAAUAUAUCCACUGAGAUACAAUAGCUUGUUUCCAGGGGUGUCCUAUUCUAUGUUUGGGCUUUGAGGGUUUGAAAACCUUUUAAUGAAGCUUGUCGUGCACAGGAAGGAUUUAGCCAGACCAGAAUUUGUUAACUAGUAUUAGAAUUUAACUAGGACAGUGUGGUUUAACACCCUGGCUCAUUCUCGAAAUAGCCCCUCAGGUCCUUUCAUUUCCACAGAACAGACAGAAUGUUCUAAAUCCAUUUAGUUAUUUACUUCCUAUGGUAUUUGUGCGGUACAUAUUGUUGUACUGGACACAACACAAUAGGCAGUUCAUAUGAUUGGAAUUCAUAUGAAUAAGUUCCAGGUAUAGAUUAAAAACACAUUUGGUAUGCAUUGAACACCAUGUGUAAUGAUUCAUAUGUGGUUCAUGCAUAUUCCCAGUGUUACAGCCUCAUCUCCCUGGAUUCUGAUCUCAUUGGAUCUCAGAAACUAAAAAGAGACAGGCUUGGUCAAUACUUGGAAGAUGGAAGCCCUCCAGGAACAGUCUGCCUUCUGGACUACAACGCAUCAUCCACAGCUCCUAGUGUUAGGGGCACUGUAUUGUUUUAGAUAAUGUCUGUGGUCAUUAGAUGCAAUGAUGCUGUCUCGAAGAAGAGAACUGGGCUGUUAAACAAGUGCCUUAGCUAAAUUGCCAAAACAAGUGAUAGAAACUGCCUUGGCUAAACCCUACCAGCACUGGUUAAUAAUUUAACAAACCACUUCACAAAUUCCCAUUAUUGGGGUCAGGUCAUAGCUGAACACAAGACGUUGCAUAUCUCAGUGCAUCUACAAAAACAACCAAUUAAUUUUCUCAUGGAAAGCAGUGUCCAGUGAGGAUGACAAGGGGGAAAGGGGCUAAAUCAGUAUAAAAUAUCUUCUAUUUAAAUUAUUUGAAAGCAAAACAAAUUCUCUCCUAUUGGUUAAAGCAUCAUAGCUGUGGCCCCAGUAAUUUACUUGUGGUCUUUAAUGUCAAUACAGUUUAAACUACUGAACAAUCUCUAAUCCAAGCAUUUGAAAUGUAUUUCAUCUUUUUGUUUUCUUUUUGUUUUAAGAUUUGAUGGAUUGCUUGUAUUAUUUGUUUUAUCAUGUUUGUUUUUUGUUUUGUUUUUUCCGGGGGAGGGGGGGAGGGGGGUAUCUUGAAUUUUUAAUUGUGACAAUUCAGUAUAAUCAUAUUCAUUUAAAAUAUUGUUUAUGUAUUUUGAAGAUUCAUUUUUGAGUUGUGUAUUUUGGGUUUUGUAGGCUGCUAACAGUUAUAUGGCUUUAUUUCUUGGCAAUUUGAAUUUUGUUCUUUGAAAACAUUCAGAAGAAGAAAGCAAGUCUUUCUUAACAGCCUCUAGUGAGCUUGGUGAGGGUUAUUGGAUGUGCUGAACUGUUCUGAAAUAAUUGAGAAUGAAGAUUGUAUACAUACACACAGGCGAAUCACUUUUAAAUUACUCAUUGGGCUGAGGGAUAUUUUAUUUUGAACGAAGCAUAUGUAAAAUUGAUAGUACAAGAAUGUUUUUUUAUUACCACAUAUAAUUUUCCCUUUUUAAGCUCUGCGUUUUAUGCUUGCUCUGAAAACCAUUGAUGACUCUAAUGCUAUUUUUAUAAGAACUUCUGACUGAUCCAUAUAACUAUCAUUUUUUAGUAAGCAUAGUUUGCUGUUUUGUAUUGAAUACAAAGCUGUGUAUCAGGAACUGCUGGACAGUACUUACACUUGCAUACAAGUAAAACUGAUUAUCUGUGUUGUCUGUGAUUAAAACUAACUGUUACACCAUUAUAUAUUUUAAAGAGGUGCUUUAUGAGCAAAACCCCAUAGCACAAUUUGUGGAUUUGCAUAGGAACUUCUCUGUCAGGGUUUCCUUUGGCUGUUUCACUUGAAAAACAUCUAUAUUUACAUACUGGUAACAACAAGUGUUAUUACCUGCUAGAAUGCAGGUGCAAGUUAAUUGCAAUAUAUGGAAUAUUUGUUCUCAAGCACUAUUGUUAUUAAAAGUGAGAUUUGUUCAGUGGUUUUUCGUACAUUUUUCAGGUAAUGUAUGUCAAUGUCAAAUCUGUUGCACACCUUUUACUUCCCCUGUUUAUGUACAAAUGUAGCAGGUUUUUAUUGUAGUCACAAGGGUUGCAAAAGCUUAACGCAAAAGUAAAAGAGAAACACUUCAUUUUGAAAUUGAACUCAACAAUGAAUUGUGUCAAGGUUUGCAUGCUGCUAAUCAAGCCAGUUACAUUGGUAAACUAUCAUUUGUAUUGAAGGAGUGAGUUUUUAAAAUUUUGUGGCAUCAACUUUGCUGGUAUUUCAUUCCUUUUUUCUGACUUUAAAGCCAACUAGUUCUUUAGUUUCGACUUGCUACUAGUAUCAUUUUGUAUAAGUAUUUAACAUGUUAAUGCUAGCCUUCGGAUGUUGAAACUUGAUUUUACUUUGCUGGAACUGUACGCUGUCGGGUGUUUACAAUUUGCUAUCUGGGGAUGUAGUUGUAAAAGCUAUGUGGAGAUGGUAAGAGUUAUGUGGAGGAUGUGAGUUGGGGAGGGGAGCGGUGUACUGCACAGUCCAUCUGUGACAGGAAAGUGGAAUGUGAUGAAGUGAGAAUGCACCGUGGUAAAUAAAUGAAAGAUGUCAAUGUUAUUACACUGCUACAACAGAAUGAAAAAAACAAUGACAAGAUGGAGAUAUUAAGAGGAGCUGUGGUUGGAAAAUUGCACUAGCAAAGUGUUGCACAUGAAAAAACUUUCGGGAGACAAAGAUAUUGUAAAAAUGACAUGUAUGUACCUGUAUACAUCCUUUGGUAGCAGAUAUUAAUGGAUUUUGCAAGCAUUUGUAUGUUUGGAAAGCUGUCCAAUAAAACGGCUUACUUUUCCUAUA